This 1300-nucleotide ribosomal RNA is filed under the name metagenome. Its description in RNAcentral is "bacterial SSU rRNA". It matches the Rfam family "Bacterial small subunit ribosomal RNA", at positions 163 to 1445 of the family's 1533-position model. The record is from RNAcentral.
CUAAUACAGCAUAACAUCCUGCCUUUGAAGAGGUGGAGAUCAAAGCUGGGGAUCGCAAGACCUAGCGCUGGAAGAGGGGCCCGCGUCUGAUUAGCUAGUUGGUGGGGUAAUGGCUCACCAAGGCAACGAUCAGUAUCCGGCCUGAGAGGGCGGACGGACACACUGGGACUGAGACACGGCCCAGACUCCUACGGGAGGCAGCAGUGGGGAAUUGUUCGCAAUGGGCGCAAGCCUGACGACGCAACGCCGCGUGGAGGAUGAAGACCUUCGGGUCGUAAACUCCUUUCGAUCGAGACGAACGGCUCCCGGACGAAUAAUUCGGGAGAGUGACGGUACCGAGAGAAGAAGCCCCGGCUAACUCCGUGCCAGCAGCCGCGGUAAUACGGGGGGGGCAAGCGUUGUUCGGAAUUACUGGGCGUAAAGGGCUCGUAGGCUGCCAACUAAGUCAGACGUGAAAUCCCUCGGCUUAACCGGGGAACUGCGUCUGAUACUGGAUGGCUUGAGAUCGGGAGAGGGAUGCGGAAUUCCAGGUGUAGCGGUGAAAUGCGUAGAUAUCUGGAGGAACACCGGUGGCGAAGGCGGCAUCCUGGACCGACACUGACGCUGAGGAGCGAAAGCCAGGGGAGCAAACGGGAUUAGAUACCCCGGUAGUCCUGGCCCUAAACGAUGAAUGCUUGGUGUGGCGGGUAUCGAUCCCUGCCGUGCCGAAGCUAACGCAUUAAGCAUUCCGCCUGGGGAGUACGGUCGCAAGGCUGAAACUCAAAGGGAUUGACGGGGGCCCGCACAAGCGGUGGAGCAUGUGGUUCAAUUCGACCACGCGAAGAACCUACCCAGGCUUGAACAGCGAGUGACCACUCACGAAAGUGAGCUUCCGCAAGGACACUCGUAGAGGUGCUGCAUGGCUGUCGUCAGCUCGUGUCGUGAGAUGUUGGGUUAAGUCCCGCAACGAGCGCAACCCUUGUCUGCUGUUGCCAUCACGUUAUGGUGGGCACUCUGCAGAGACUGCCGGUGAUAAACCGGAGGAAGGUGGGGAUGACGUCAAGUCAGCAUGGCCUUUAUGUCUGGGGCUACACACGUGCUACAAUGGCCGAUACAAACCGUCGCGAGCCCGCAAGGGGGAGCUAAUCGGAGAAAGUCGGUCUCAGUUCGGAUUGUCGGCUGCAACUCGCCGGCAUGAAGUUGGAAUCGCUAGUAAUCGCGGAUCAGCACGCCGCGGUGAAUACGUUCCCGGGCCUUGUACACACCGCCCGUCACAUCACGAAAGCCGGUUGUACUAGAAGCCGCCACAUCAACCCGCAAG